Molecule: transfer RNA, 76 nt
Filed under: Candidatus Saccharimonadota bacterium
Lineage: Bacteria; Candidatus Saccharimonadota
Description: tRNA-Pro
Rfam family: tRNA
About the family: Transfer RNA (tRNA) molecules are approximately 80 nucleotides in length. Their secondary structure includes four short double-helical elements and three loops (D, anti-codon, and T loops). Further hydrogen bonds mediate the characteristic L-shaped molecular structure. tRNAs have two regions of fundamental functional importance: the anti-codon, which is responsible for specific mRNA codon recognition, and the 3' end, to which the tRNAs corresponding amino acid is attached (by aminoacyl-tRNA synthetases). tRNAs cope with the degeneracy of the genetic code in two manners: having more than one tRNA (with a specific anti-codon) for a particular amino acid; and 'wobble' base-pairing, i.e. permitting non-standard base-pairing at the 3rd anti-codon position.
Source: RNAcentral
CGGGGCGUGGCACAGUUGGUAGCGCGCUGCGUUUGGGACGCAGAGGUCGCCUGUUCGAGUCAGGUCGCCCCGACCA